CUUUUCCCUCUGGUGGGCAGGGCCAUGCUCUGUGAGAUUUUAAGUUGCAUGGCUGCUAAUGGGUGGGGCUGUGUUCACUUCCUGCCAGUUGUUUGUCCUGAGGUGACACAGCACAGAAGACUACAGGCUGUUUGGUGGUGCUAAUAGUGACCUCCAGGAGGGCUCAUGCCAACGAGUACUUCCCAGAACUUCUGCUGCCAAUGUCUUUGUCCCCACAGUGAACCACCACCCCCUACCUCUGCAGGAGACUCUCCAAUACCAGCAGGGCUGCUGACAGGCCCGUUAGCAACACAGAGCCUAAUUACUUGCCAAGAGUAAAAGAAAAUGUGUCAUUUGGUUGUUCUGGCUUUUCCCG
Capra hircus (goat) is the source of this 355-nucleotide long non-coding RNA. The record is from Ensembl. NCBI's taxonomy places the organism in Eukaryota, Metazoa, Chordata, Mammalia, Artiodactyla, Bovidae.